CCUACGGGUGACAGCAGUGAGGAAUAUUGGUCAAUGGGCGAUAGCCUGAACCAGCGAAGUCGCGUGAGGGAUGACGGCCCUAUGGGUGGUAAACUUCUUUUAUGUGGGAGUAAAUUGCGGUAUGUAUACUGCUUUCCAUGUACCUUAUGAAUAAGGAUCGGCUAAAUCCGUGGCAGCAGCCGCGGUAAUCCGGAGGAACCGGGCGUUAUCCGGAUUUAGGGGGGUGAAAGGGAGGGUUGGCGGGUUGUCAAGUCUGUUGUGAAAGUCUGCGGGUUAACCUUGUACUUGCAUUUGAUACUGGCAGCCUUGAGUGAAGUAGAGGUAGGCGGAAUUCGUGGUGUAGCGGUGAAAUGCUUAGAUAUCACGAAGAACUCCGAUGGCGAAGGCAGCCUGCUGGACUGUAACUGACGCUGAGGCUCGAAAGCGUGGGUAGCAAACAGGAUUAGAUACCCGGGUAGUC
RNAcentral lists this ribosomal RNA (460 nucleotides) under uncultured bacterium. RNAcentral describes it as "partial 16S ribosomal RNA". It matches the Rfam family "Bacterial small subunit ribosomal RNA", at positions 338 to 795 of the family's 1533-position model. The record is from RNAcentral.